This is a long non-coding RNA of Pygocentrus nattereri (red-bellied piranha), 1357 nucleotides long. RefSeq lists it as uncharacterized. The record is from RefSeq and is a predicted model, not a curated record. Lineage: Eukaryota; Metazoa; Chordata; Actinopteri; Characiformes; Serrasalmidae. The transcript has 3 exons.
CCUACACAACCUGCAGUCUGAACAUCGCGUGCUUUCGGCCCCCGCCUCGCUUCAGGCUCGACCACCGCCUUCAGACCACAGGCUCGACCACCACCUUCACACCUUCAGACCUCAGGCUCGACCACCGCCAGCAGCCGCUCUUCUGGGUCCAUCAGCUGUCUCCUAUAGGUCCAUCCUAGCGGCGUACCAAAACCUGCAAGUAUGAUCAUCAGACUGGGACGCUUGACCCCUGGGUACUUCCGUCUCCUGCAGAGGCAGGUAGCCGGUGAGGUUCAGACGCAGCCACAGGACCGUGCCCUCAACCAGAUCGCCAUGUUGCUGGCCAUCAUGGGUCUCAGCCUGUCCUACUACAGUGCCAAGCAGAUGACUGAGAAAGUCCAGCGCGUCCCUGGGCCCUGAAGUGACCCUGAACUCUGGUCCGUUUGUAUGCCGUAGCUGAAGAGACCAAAAAGCCGAAUUGGAGAUCGAGACGGAGGGUUGGGGAGAGAAGAGAUUAAUGAAGUUGUAGGGCACGGUUUUACACUUUCAUCACCACCGUAAGCCUAAGACACUGGAGUUCACUCACCAUGAGAAGAGAGUUCAGGGCUGCUGCUGGGGGUCCUCUGACUGCAGCUUAGCAUAGAAUGGGUGGGUGCAAGUUUUACACUGGGGCCAGAAAUUAAAGCCAGAAGGAAGCUGAAUGGGGCCUGGGUUGAUGGUUGCCGUGGUCCGCGGCGCCUCUUUAUUACCGCUGAAGUCCCGGGGUCCAGUGCUAGUGAGGUGCUAUCUGACGUUAUAAUGCUGUUUUAAAGGGAAAUGGCUCCGUAGCUGGUGACCUUGGCUAAGAAUCGAUGCCCUUUAAAGGGAAGCACCUCUGUAUGUAUUAAGCAGUAAUCGAACACAGGCCAGGUUGAUGAGUGGUAGCUGUGUACUGUGUCUAAGAAUAAAUGCCUUUGAAAGGACAGAGCAGGUGCAUUAUGUGAGCAACCAUUGACCGCAGGCUUAAACGAAUGAAGGCAAAGGUAUUUUUUGGCUGUAUAGCUGCAGGUAAGAUGCCACAGCAUCCUGAGAACUCGUCUACACAACUGAACGAAAUUACAUUUCUUUUAGACACUGUGAACGUUUUUACUGCACUGUCAAUGCAAGCUUGUAAAUGAGCUUACAGCAGCAAAUCUAGACCUGGUUAAAAGGGACUUUUCCUCCUUUCCGUUUUGUAUUCCUCUCUUUUUCUUGUAUCUGCAAUGCUUAGUAGGUGUUUACUGUGACCUUUCUAAUGCAUGAGUGUGAACUGUGAUAGUUACUAAGGACAUCUGUGGUAAUGAAUGUAUGUUGCUAUUUUGAAAAAAACAAACAAUAAAGCUGUGAAGAUUUUGAAUAA